This 460-nucleotide ribosomal RNA is filed under the name uncultured bacterium. Its description in RNAcentral is "partial 16S ribosomal RNA". It matches the Rfam family "Bacterial small subunit ribosomal RNA", at positions 338 to 795 of the family's 1533-position model. The record is from RNAcentral.
CCUACGGGAGGCAGCAGUGAGGAAUAUUGGUCAAUGGACGAGAGUCUGAACCAGCCAAGUAGCGUGAAGGAUGACUGCCCUAUGGGUUGUAAACUUCUUUUAUAUGGGAAUAAAAUGUUCCACGUGUGGGAUUUUGUAUGUACCAUAUGAAUAAGGAUCGGCUAACUCCGUGCCAGCAGCCGCGGUAAUACGGAGGAUCCGAGCGUUAUCCGGAUUUAUUGGGUUUAAAGGGAGCGUAGGUGGAUUGUUAAGUCAGUUGUGAAAGUUUGCGGCUCAACCGUAAAAUUGCAGUUGAAACUGGCAGUCUUGAGUACAGUAGAGGUGGGCGGAAUUCGUGGUGUAGCGGUGAAAUGCUUAGAUAUCACGAAGAACUCCGAUUGCGAAGGCAGUUCACUGGACUGCAACUGACUCUGAGGCUCGAAAGUGUGGGUAUCAAACAGGAUUAGAUACCCCUGUAGUC